GUAAGCACUGCUUGUGUCACACUGCUGUAUGGUCCUCAAAGGAGCCCUCAAGCUCCCUUUCCAUAUCCAGGUUAUGUAGAUACUGGUGAUGCUAGGAACUUGAAACUAAGUUCAUUUGCUGGCUUUUACAGUAGGUGAUUAUUGUUUUUUGUUUGUCGUUGCUCCCCUAUCCAAAGUAUUUCAGUGAGUUGUAUCUUCUGCCAAGGCAGAGUUUCUAGUUGAGGCUUGGCUGAAAAAAUGAAGGCAAACAAGAGCUUUGCUAGAUUCCAGUCUGGAAAGGAAGAAGAUCCUGGGGGAUUUUUGUGUUGUAGCUCCUAAAGGCCUCUGAAUGCUUCUGGGGCUGUAUCUUUUAACCUGGACUAGAGAAGAGUCUUUGAAGUUCCUACAGUUUGAUUGGAAGGGGAGACAGAGGAUGAAGUCGGUGAGGCACAGAGGUGAAAAGCUCCAUUCAGUGUUACAUAUCUGCUCAUGAUGGUGGUGGGUUUUUCCCUUCUGUGUCGGGUGAAGAGACAGGCUGGUUGCGGAGUUGUGCUGGGUGACUGGUUGCUGAACUCAUCUGAAAAAAAAACAGUCUGUUUCACAAACAACAGGAGAAAACAAAGAAUAGUUGAAGAGUGCUGGUGUACGUGUGUAUUCCGUUGUCCUGCAGGACACAGAGGUGCUCAGGCUUGUGACUGUCCUGGAGACUGUUCCAAUAAUGGAAAUGGAUUUCUGAGCUAACGUGGAUGAGAUUCCUGUCAUGAAUGCUGUCCUGUGGAAGGGCUCUACCCAGCAACUAACAAGGUUAAAUUUCAGUGGAUGCAGCAUGUUCCUUCACUUCCUCCCCUGAAUGGGUGUUGACAUGCUAUGAAACAGCUGCCUUGCUCUGCUCUGGAGGUAGAUGCUCUUUCAAAGGCUGAAGUAACUCCUGCCAACAUCCAGCUUGUCUUAUUAACCUGUUGGGAUUGCUCCAGACCAAAGUUACAGAGGAAUGCUGUGUUAUGUGGCAAACGACCCGGGAAAGGUAUUUUAUGAUAUAUGUGGAAUUACAUUUGCAACAUGUAUCUGUAACAGCCCUAAGACCUCACUGUACAGCUUUAGUUCACAGGGGAAUAUUGAAGCAAUUCUGUGCCUUCCUUGGUUGAAGCUCCAGUGUAUAGCUGAAAAUCUGAUUACCGAAUUACUGAAGCCUUAAGAAAUUAGGCUGUCUUCAGGAUUGUUUCUUAGAAGAAGGAUGGCAGCAGGGCCAGCGUGAGAGUAACUGUGGGGAAGUGAUCGGUAUGCGAUGGUGUUACUUUCCCAGCUGUUCAAUGGGCUUUUCUGUGGGGUGUAGCUUCUUCAGCACGGGAACAAUCUUUCAUUCUCAUUUCUGCAGUCCCCUAAGUAUGUGUGAUCUGGAAUUGCGCAGUAAUGUAAUACCUGAAAUCUUGUGAUGGACUUCCAUAGGAAGUCCUAUGUUUGGACGUGCGGUUGUAUCUUUCUAGGAUAACCUGUUGUUCAUCAUCCUUUCUGGAAGCUGGCUUUGGAAAGGUAUAUUGACAGAGAGAAUUUACGGUAUUAUUUUAAGACACUUAAUAAACCAUAGUGUUCCUUUAUUACAAUGUAAAGCAGUGCCGGUUUUGAGUUUUAUAAGGCAUUUAAGCGCAGUUGUGGCCUUCAUGAACGUAAUACCAACGACUGUAUGAGAAGAAGGGCACUGCGUUGAAGUUGAAGAUGAGUUGAGGUUGGACAUUACGCACUGAUUUCCCAAGAGGACUCUCCUUCAGUGCCUGGAGAAGUAAUUUCAAUAUUCAUCUCUUCUCAUUGUAGGCUAAUUACUAAAUAUUGUAGUAGCUUAAUUUAGUUUGUAAUUUAUUCACUUGUUUGUGAUUAUGUUCCCAGAAUGGGGGAUAAACUUGAAUUGGAGUAUUUGAAUAUUUGAGGAUUGGGAUUAAAAAAAAAAAAAUCUGAAUCAAGAAAUGAGAUGAUACUACUUACCUAG
RNAcentral lists this long non-coding RNA (1960 nucleotides) under Gallus gallus (chicken). Lineage: Eukaryota; Metazoa; Chordata; Aves; Galliformes; Phasianidae. The record is from RNAcentral.